This 1024-nucleotide ribosomal RNA is filed under the name uncultured bacterium. Its description in RNAcentral is "bacterial SSU rRNA". It matches the Rfam family "Bacterial small subunit ribosomal RNA", at positions 57 to 1043 of the family's 1533-position model. The record is from RNAcentral.
GUUGGUCCAUUGAUUGAUGGUGCUUGCACCUGAUUGAUCUUUGUCGCCAACGAGUGGCGGACGGGUGAGUAACACGUAGGUAACCUGCCCAGAAGCGGGGGACAACAUUUGGAAACAGAUGCUAAUACCGCAUAACAACGUUGUUCGCAUGAACAACGCUUAAAAGAUGGCUUCUCGCUAUCACUUCUGGAUGGACCUGCGGUGCAUUAGCUUGUUGGUGGGGUAAUGGCCUACCAAGGCGAUGAUGCAUAGCCGAGUUGAGAGACUGAUCGGCCACAAUGGGACUGAGACACGGCCCAUACUCCUACGGGAGGCAGCAGUAGGGAAUCUUCCACAAUGGGCGCAAGCCUGAUGGAGCAACACCGCGUGAGUGAAGAAGGGCUUCGGCUCGUAAAGCUCUGUUGUUAAAGAAGAACACGUAUGAGAGUAACUGUUCAUACGUUGACGGUAUUUAACCAGAAAGUCACGGCUAACUACGUGCCAGCAGCCGCGGUAAUACGUAGGUGGCAAGCGUUAUCCGGAUUUAUUGGGCGUAAAGAGAGUGCAGGCGGUUUUCUAAGUCUGAUGUGAAAGCCUUCGGCUUAACCGGAGAAGGGCAUCGGAAACUGGGAAACUUGAGUGCAGAAGAGGACAGUGGAACUCCAUGUGUAGCGGUGAAAUGCGUAGAUAUAUGGAAGAACACCAGUGGCGAAGGCGGCUGUCUGGUCUGUAACUGACGCUGAGGCUCGAAAGCAUGGGUAGCGAACAGGAUUAGAUACCCUGGUAGUCCAUGCCGUAAACGAUGAAUGCUAGGUGUUAGAAGGGUUUCCGCCCUUUAGUGCCGCAGCUAACGCAUUAAGCAUUCCGCCUGGGGGAGUACGACCGCAAGGUUGAAACUCAAAGGAAUUGACGGGGGCCCGCACAAGCGGUGGAACCAUGGUGGUUUAAUUCGAAGCAACGCGAAGAACCUUACCAGGUCUUGACAUCUUCUGCCAACCUAAAAAGAUUAGGCGUUCCCUUUCGGGGACAGAAUGACCAGGUGGUU